RNAcentral lists this ribosomal RNA (256 nucleotides) under uncultured bacterium. Its description in RNAcentral is "partial 16S ribosomal RNA". It matches the Rfam family "Bacterial small subunit ribosomal RNA", at positions 28 to 285 of the family's 1533-position model. The record is from RNAcentral.
GACGAACGCUGGCGGCGUGCUUAACACAUGCAAGUCGAGCGGUAAGGCCCUUUCGGGGGUACACGAGCGGCGAACGGGUGAGUAACACGUGGGUGACCUGCCCUCAGCUCUGGGAUAAGCCUGGGAAACCGGGUCUAAUACCGGAUAUGACUCCAUGACGCAUGUUGUGGGGUGGAAAGCCUUGUGCGGCUGAGGAUGGGCCCGCGGCCUAUCAGCUUGUUGGUGGGGUGAUGGCCUACCAAGGCGACGACGGGUA